UCAAAUGCAAAAGGUAUAAACGCAUAUUGAUUUUCGGGACACGCUCUUUCGUGUUUGACCACUUUACUUGAAGUAGCUUUGAGGGCCGUCUAUCCUAUAGUAAAAUCCCCAGUCGUUAAUCGCACAAGUGGAGAAACUCCACUCAAGUCCACACAUGCAUGUUUCCUUCCUACUCAGCCGUAUACUAGAAUAUUGGUCUGCCUCAAUGUAGAUCUCCCCUCCAAUGGGUCAGUUAAGAAAUUCACAGGCGUCUCAUUCUUCACAGAUAGAGCCAAAUUUCAUUUCCCCGAUUUGGAGGCUGUCGCGGUGAUUUUCGGAGAUCAAAGCUAUUGAUUAGACUUUGACUCGCAAAAUAAGAAGUCACCACCGAACUUUAAUUUUUCCAAGGGAAGGGAAAAAGAUCGAAUAAAACCCAC
This 416-nucleotide long non-coding RNA is filed under the name Trifolium pratense (red clover). RNAcentral's name for it is "long non-coding RNA (TPRA_LNC009953)". Lineage: Eukaryota; Viridiplantae; Streptophyta; Magnoliopsida; Fabales; Fabaceae. The record is from RNAcentral.